Molecule: ribosomal RNA, 497 nt
Filed under: uncultured bacterium
Lineage: Bacteria
Description: partial 16S ribosomal RNA
Rfam family: Bacterial small subunit ribosomal RNA
Source: RNAcentral
GAUGGACGCUGGCGGCGUGCCUAAUACAUGCAAGUCGAGCGAACAGACGAGGAGCUUGCUCCUCUGACGUUAGCGGCGGACGGGUGAGUAACACGUGGAUAACCUACCUAUAAGACUGGGAUAACUUCGGGAAACCGGAGCUAAUACCGGAUAAUAUAUUGAACCGCAUGGUUCAAUAGUGAAGGACGGUUUUGCUGUCACUUAUAGAUGGAUCCGCGCCGCAUUAGCUAGUUGGUAAGGUAACGGCUUACCAAGGCGACGAUGCGUAGCCGACCUGAGAGGGUGAUCGGCCACACUGGAACUGAGACACGGUCCAGACUCCUACGGGAGGCAGCAGUAGGGAAUCUUCCGCAAUGGGCGAAAGCCUGACGGAGCAACGCCGCGUGAGUGAUGAAGGUCUUCGGAUCGUAAAACUCUGUUAUUAGGGAAGAACAAAUGUGUAAGUAACUAUGCACGUCUUGACGGUACCUAAUCAGAAAGCCACGGCUAACUACGUG